RNAcentral lists this ribosomal RNA (652 nucleotides) under Salmonella enterica. RNAcentral describes it as "partial 23S ribosomal RNA". It matches the Rfam family "Bacterial large subunit ribosomal RNA", at positions 711 to 1275 of the family's 2925-position model. The record is from RNAcentral. Lineage: Bacteria; Pseudomonadati; Pseudomonadota; Gammaproteobacteria; Enterobacterales; Enterobacteriaceae.
AGACCCGAAACCCGGUGAUCUAGCCAUGGGCAGGUUGAAGGUUGGGUAACACUAACUGGAGGACCGAACCGACUAAUGUUGAAAAAUUAGCGGAUGACCUGUGGCUGGGGGUGAAAGGCCAAUCAAACCGGGAGAUAGCUGGUUCUCCCCGAAAGCUAUUUAGGUAGCGCCUCGUGAAUUCAUCUCCGGGGGUAGAGCACUGUUUCGGCUAGGGGGCCAUCCCGGCUUACCAACCCGAUGCAAACUGCGAAUACCGGAGAAUGUUAUCACGGGAGACACACGGCGGGUGCUAACGUCCGUCGUGAAGAGGGAAACAACCCAGACCGCCAGCUAAGGUCCCAAAGUCAUGGUUAAGUGGGAAACGAUGUGGGAAGGCCCAGACAGCCAGGAUGUUGGCUUAGAAGCAGCCAUCAUUUAAAGAAAGCGUAAUAGCUCACUGGUCGAGUCGGCCUGCGCGGAAGAUGUAACGGGGCUAAACCAUGCACCGAAGCUGCGGCAGCGAACGUAUCACCCAAGACAACUUUACGGAGUUGACGAUUGACGGAGCGAAGCGACGUCAAAGCGUUCAUUAAAGUCGAGUUGGCUUAGGGAUACGUUCGUUGGGUAGGGGAGCGUUCUGUAAGCCUGUGAAGGUGUGUCGUGAGGCAUGCUG